UAAUGCCCCUAAAAAUCCCUAU
This 22-nucleotide microRNA is filed under the name Callorhinchus milii (elephant shark). RNAcentral's name for it is "Cmi-Mir-193-P2b_3p (mature (guide))". The record is from RNAcentral. Lineage: Eukaryota; Metazoa; Chordata; Chondrichthyes; Chimaeriformes; Callorhinchidae.